Molecule: ribosomal RNA, 420 nt
Filed under: uncultured ammonia-oxidizing beta proteobacterium
Lineage: Bacteria; Pseudomonadati; Pseudomonadota; Betaproteobacteria
Description: bacterial SSU rRNA
Rfam family: Bacterial small subunit ribosomal RNA
Source: RNAcentral
UUGGAGGAAAGCAGGGGAUCGUAAGACCUUGCGCUUUUGGAGCGGCCGAUGUCUGAUUAGCUAGUUGGUGGGGUAAUGGCCUACCAAAGCUCCGAUCAGUAGCUGGUCUGAGAGGACGGCCAGCCACACUGGGACUGAGACACGGCCCAGACUCCUACGGGAGGCAGCAGUGGGGAAUUUUGGACAAUGGGCGCAAGCCUGAUCCAGCCAUGCCGCGUGAGUGAAGAAGGCCUUCGGGUUGUAAAGCUCUUUCAGCCGGGAAGAAAAGGCUGCGAUUAAUAAUCGCAGUUCAUGACGGUACCGGAAGAAGAAGCACCGGCUAACUACGUGCCAGCAGCCGCGGUAAUACGUAGGGUGCGAGCGUUAAUCGGAAUUACUGGGCGUAAAGGGUGCGCAGGCGGUUUUGUAAGUCAGAUGUGA